RNAcentral lists this ribosomal RNA (400 nucleotides) under uncultured bacterium. RNAcentral's name for it is "bacterial SSU rRNA". It matches the Rfam family "Bacterial small subunit ribosomal RNA", at positions 355 to 772 of the family's 1533-position model. The record is from RNAcentral.
UGGGGAAUAUUGGGCAAUGGAGGAAACUCUGACCCAGCCAUGCCGCGUGAAUGAUGAAGGCCUUAGGGUUGUAAAGUUCUUUCGCCGAUGAAGAUAAUGACGGUAGUCGGAGAAGAAGCCCCGGCUAACUUCGUGCCAGCAGCCGCGGUAAUACGAAGGGGGCUAGCGUUGUUCGGAAUUACUGGGCGUAAAGCGAGCGUAGGUUGCUCGAUAAGUCAGUGGUGAAAGCCCAGAGCUCAACUCUGGAACUGCCAUUGAAACUGUCGAGCUGGAAUCUCAGAGGGGGUAGCGGAAUUCCAAAUGUAGGGGUGAAAUCCGUAGAUAUUUGGAGGAACACCGGUGGCGAAGGCGGCUACCUGGAUGAGUAUUGACACUGAGGCUCGAAAGCGUGGGGAUCAAA